Molecule: non-coding RNA, 28 nt
Filed under: Cricetulus griseus (Chinese hamster)
Lineage: Eukaryota; Metazoa; Chordata; Mammalia; Rodentia; Cricetidae
Source: RNAcentral
CAGUAAGAUGUUUGGUGAAGAGGGGUAG